UGGUAUUCAGGUAUGCUGGUC
This 21-nucleotide non-coding RNA is filed under the name Arabidopsis thaliana (thale cress). The record is from RNAcentral. Lineage: Eukaryota; Viridiplantae; Streptophyta; Magnoliopsida; Brassicales; Brassicaceae.